UUUUCCUACUCAUAUUAAGGUUAAGAAAUUCGAAAACAAAAAGAGCGCAAAGAGAUUCCAUUACUGCCCAAAGAAACACGGUGAAAGAUUUAGCAAGAGAAUAUCAAAACAAUCAGUUAAUUACAACAUAAUCAUCACCGGAGAAAGAAAUAUUACUACUUAAGAAGAAAAACAAUGGAAAUGUACCUCUUACUCUCAGUCACAAGUUGAGCUGGAUGUUGAUUCUCUUCAACGAGUACCAGGAGAGAACAACUGGGUUCUAGUCAGUCAAUGGUGAUUGCUGCAAGGUGGAGAAUUGCUUCCUUUGCAAACUUUGCGGAGAUUAGCUAAAUUUUUUGCUUUAGUUCUUGGCUUUCUGCCUUGGACUGUUUUGCUGGGUGGGAGAAAUUGGGGGCAGCGGGUCGUGGACUCGAGGUCAAUGGAGGUUCAGCACAUUUGGUGGCAAAGCACCCCAGUGGAAGGGCCGAAAGAAGGAAGGUGAUGGGAAGGAAGGAAGGAAGAAGCGGCAAAGCUGAGUCGGAGGCGGAGGAACUAGGAAGGAAGGUGAAUGAGACAGCGGAGUCAGGCGGUGGAGGCGGAGGAAGGAAGGUGAGACUGAGGAUUGAGGAAGACAGUGACGAAGAGACAAUGAGGAAGAGGCGGCAGAAGAGUAAGGACUAAGGUGAGUUAAAUUAGG
This 676-nucleotide long non-coding RNA is filed under the name Coffea arabica (coffee). RNAcentral describes it as "long non-coding RNA (CARA_LNC004860)". The record is from RNAcentral. Lineage: Eukaryota; Viridiplantae; Streptophyta; Magnoliopsida; Gentianales; Rubiaceae.